UGGGGAAUUUUGGACAAUGGGCGAAAGCCUGGUCCAGCAAUGCCGCGUGUGUGAAGAAGGCCUUCGGGUUGUAAAGCACUUUUGUCCGGAAAGAAAUGGCUCUGGUUAAUACCUGGGGUCGAUGACGGUACCGGAAGAAUAAGGACCGGCUAACUACGUGCCAGCAGCCGCGGUAAUACGUAGGGUCCAAGCGUUAAUCGGAAUUACUGGGCGUAAAGCGUGCGCAGGCGGUUGUGCAAGACCGAUGUGAAAUCCCCGAGCUUAACUUGGGAAUUGCAUUGGUGACUGCACGGCUAGAGUGUGUCAGAGGGGGGUAGAAUUCCACGUGUAGCAGUGAAAUGCGUAGAGAUGUGGAGGAAUACCGAUGGCGAAGGCAGCCCCCUGGGAUAACACUGACGCUCAUGCACGAAAGCGUGGGGAGCAAACAGG
RNAcentral lists this ribosomal RNA (429 nucleotides) under Bacillota bacterium. RNAcentral's name for it is "Firmicutes bacterium partial 16S ribosomal RNA". It matches the Rfam family "Bacterial small subunit ribosomal RNA", at positions 355 to 776 of the family's 1533-position model. The record is from RNAcentral. Lineage: Bacteria; Bacillati; Bacillota.